Molecule: ribosomal RNA, 2805 nt
Filed under: plant metagenome
Description: bacterial LSU rRNA
Rfam family: Bacterial large subunit ribosomal RNA
Source: RNAcentral
UAAAGUGAAACAAGGGCGUACGGUGGAUGCCUAGGGUCCGAGAGGCGAGGAAGGACGCGGUAAGCUGCGAAAAUCCCGGGGGAGCCGCACACAGGCGCGAUAUCCCGGGGUGUCCGAAUGGGGCAACCCGGCAUGCUGAAGGCAUGCCACCCGCGAGGGGGCCAACCUCCUGAACUGAAACAUCUAAGUAGGGAGAGGAAAAGAAAAUAAUCGAAUGAUUCCCGGAGUAGUGGCGAGCGAAAGGGGAAGAGCCCAAACCGGGGCUGCGUGCAGCCCCGGGGUUGUAGGACCGCGUUUAGGAAGCGCCACCAAGCCGAAGGCCCUGGAAAGGGCGGCCGUAGCGGGUGACAGCCCCGUAGGCGCAAACUGGCGUGGACGAGCGGAAUCCUGAGUAGCGCGGGACCGGAGGAAUCCUGCGCGAACCCGCCGGCACCAUCCGGCAAGGCUAAAUACUCCUCGGACACCGAUAGUGGACCAGUACCGUAAGGGAAAGGUGAAAAGUACCGUGGACAACGGGGUGAAAUAGUACCUGAAACCGUACGCCUACAAGCGGUCGGAGCACAGCGAUGUGUGACGGCGUGCCUUUUGCAUAAUGAACCUACGAGUUGCACCUCACCGGCGAGGUUAAGCCCUUUGGGGCGGAGCCGCAGCGAAAGCGAGUCCGAACAGGGCGCACGGUCGGUGGGGGCAGACGCGAAACUUAGUGAUCUAUCCAUGGGCAGGUUGAAGGCCCGGUAACACGGGGUGGAGGACCGAACCCGUUGACGUUGAAAAGUCUUGGGAUGACCUGUGGAUAGGGGUGAAAGGCCAAUCAAACUGAGAGAUAGCUCGUUCUCCCCGAAAUGUUUUUAGGAACAGCGUCGCGUAGCGAGUCUGGCGGAGGUAGAGCUACUGACUGGACUAGGGGGCUUCACCGCCUGCCAAAUCCUGACAAACUCCGAAUGCCGCCAGACGUCCGCGGCAGUGAGGCUCUGUGCGCUAAGGUGCAGGGCCGAGAGGGAAAGAACCCAGAACAGCGGCUAAGGUCCCCAAUGCAUGGCUAAGUCAGACAAACGGGGUGGGGUUUCGCAGACAGCCAGGAUGUUUGCUCGGAAGCAGCAAUCCAUUCAAAGAGUGCGUAACAGCUCACUGGUCGAGAGGCCCCGCACGGAAAAUGAUCGGGUGUCAAGCCAUGAACCGAAGCCCUGUACCGGCGCGUUUUGCGUGCCGGUGGUAGGGGAGCAUCGGUGCCGUGCCGAAGCCGCGGGGCGACCCGCGGUGGAACGGCACCGAAAGAAAAUGUAGGUAUGAGUAACGAUAAAAGGGGUGGAAAACCCCUUCGCCGAAAACCCAAGGGUUCCUGAUCAACGUUAAUCGGAUCAGGGUCAGUCCGGUCCUUAGGAUAAGCCGAAGGGCGAAGCCGAUGGCAAGCAGGUCAACAUUCCUGCACCUGCACAGCGAUGGAAGCGACGGAUCCCCCAGCUCUCUGCGUACUGACGGAAUAGUGCGCGGAGCGUAGCCUUCGGGCGAGGCGAAGAGGGGGCGGGGGUCCCAAGAAAAGCGAGCUGUGCGGCCGGUACCGUAAACCGACACAGGUGGGUGGGAAGAGUAUUCCAAGGCGCUCGGGUGAGCCGUGGAGAAGGAACUAGGCAAAUUGACGCUGUAACUUCGGGAUAAAGCGUACCGCAGCGAUGCGGUCCCAGCAAAAUGGUGCGACCAACUGUUUAACAAAAACACAGGGCCCUGCUAAAUCGCGAGAUGAAGUAUAGAGCCUGAUGCCUGCCCGGUGCCGGAAGGUUAAGGAAGCAUGUUCGGGGCGACCCAAAGCUUGUGACCGAAGCCCCGGUAAACGGCGGCCGUAACUAUAACGGUCCUAAGGUAGCGAAAUUCCUUGUCGGGUAAGUUCCGACCUGCACGAAUGGUCUAAUGAGUUGCACACUGUCUCCUCCACGAGCCCGGUGAAAUUGUGGUAUCGGUGAAGACGCCGGUUACCCGCCACGGGACGGAAAGACCCCGUGAACCUUCACUACAGCUUUGCACUGUUCUUGGACAACCGGUGUGUAGGAUAGUUGGGAGGCACAGAGGCUGCGUCGCCAGGCGCGGCGGAGCCGUUGUUGAAAUACCAACCUCCUGUUGUCUAGGGGCUAACCCCGCGUAAGCGUGGGACACUGCAUGGCGGGUAGUUUGACUGGGGUGGUCGCCUCCUAAAGAGUAACGGAGGCUUGCAAAGGUACCCUCACUACGGUUGGUAACCGUAGGCGGAGCAUAUUGGUAUAAGGGUGCUUGACUGUGGGACGGACAUGUCGAACAGGGGCGAAAGCCGGCUAAAGUGAUCCGGCGGUUCUGUAUGGAAGGGCCGUCGCUCAAAGGAUAAAAGGUACUCCGGGGAUAACAGGCUGAUCUUACCCAAGAGCCCAUAUCGACGGUAAGGUUUGGCACCUCGAUGUCGGUUCGUCACAUCCUGGGGCUGGAGAAGGUCCCAAGGGUUCGGCUGUUCGCCGAUUAAAGUGGCACGCGAACUGGGUUCAGAACGUCGCAAGACAGUUCGGUCCCUAUCUGUGGUGGGCGCAAGUAAGCUGCGGGGACAUGCUCUUAGUACGAGAGGACCGGAGCGUACGUACCGCUGGUGUACCUGUUGUCGUGCCAACGGCAGUGCAGGGUAGCUAUGUACGGUCGGGAUAAACGCUGAAGGCAUCUAAGCGUGAAACCUCCCCCAAGAUGAGCUUACUGUGAAGGGCCGUCGGAGACGACGACGUCGAUAGGCCGCAGGUGUAAAGGUGGCAACACCAAAGCCGAGCGGUACUAAUAGCCCGUAAGCUUUAGGGC